Molecule: ribosomal RNA, 313 nt
Filed under: uncultured bacterium
Lineage: Bacteria
Description: bacterial SSU rRNA
Rfam family: Bacterial small subunit ribosomal RNA
Source: RNAcentral
GAUGAACGCUAGCGGCAGGCCUAAUACAUGCAAGCCGAACGGUAAUUCUGAUAGCAAUAUUGGAACUAGAGUGGCGUAAGGGUGCGUAACACGUAUGCAAUCUACCCGCAACAGGAGGAUAGCUCCCCGAAAGGGGAAUUAACCCUCCAUGAGAUCACACGAGGGCAUCCGAGAGUGAUUAAAUUUGAGGAGGUUGUGGAUGAGCAUGCGACUGAUAGCUAGUUGGCAGUGUAACGGACUACCAAGGCGAUGAUCAGUAGGGGAACUGAGAGGUUGAUCCCCCACACUGGCACUGAGAUACGGGCCAGACUCC